ACAGCAGUAGCCGCGGUAAUACAGAGGGUGCGAGCGUUAAUCGGAUUUACUGGGCGUAAAGCGUGCGUAGGCGGCUUCUUAAGUCGGAUGUGAAAUCCCUGAGCUUAACUUAGGAAUUGCAUUCGAUACUGGGAAGCUAGAGUAUGGGAGAGGAUGGUAGAAUUCCAGGUGUAGCGGUGAAAUGCGUAGAGAUCUGGAGGAAUACAGAUGGCGAAGGCAGCCAUCUGGCCUAAUACUGACGCUGAGGUACGAAAGCAUGGGGAGCAAACAGGAUUAGAUACCCGCGUAGUCCCUGUCUCUUAUAA
RNAcentral lists this ribosomal RNA (305 nucleotides) under uncultured bacterium. RNAcentral describes it as "partial 16S ribosomal RNA". It matches the Rfam family "Bacterial small subunit ribosomal RNA", at positions 508 to 809 of the family's 1533-position model. The record is from RNAcentral.